GGUUUGAUUAUGGCUCAGAUUGAACGCUGGCGGGAUGCUUUACACAUGCAAGUCGAACGGCAGCACGGACUUCGGUCUGGUGGCGAGUGGCGAACGGGUGAGUAAUGUAUCGGAACGUGCCUAGUAGCGGGGAUAACUACGCGAAAGCGUAGCUAAUACCGCAUACGCCCUUCGGGGGAAAGCGGGGGACCUUCGGGCCUCGCACUAUUAGGAGCGGCCGAUAUCGGAUUAGCUAGUUGAGGGUGCAACGGUCACCAAGGCGACGAUCCGUAGCUGGUUUGAGAGGACGACCAGCCACACUGACUGGAGACACGGCCCAGACUCCUACGGGAGGCAGCAGUGGGGAAUUUUGGACAAUGGGGAAACCCUGAUCCAGCCAUCCCGCGUGUGCGAUGAAGGCCUUCGGGUUGUAAAGCACCCUUGGCAGGAAAGAAACGGCACGGGGAUACCCCGUGCAACUGACGGUACCUGCAGAAUAAGCACCGGCUAACUACGCGCCAGCAGCCGCGGUAAUACGUAGGUGCAAGCGUUAAUCGGAAUUACUGGGCGGAAGUGUGCGCAGGCGGUUCGGAAAGAAAGAUGUGAAAUCCCAGAGCUUAACUUUGAACUGCAUUUUUAACUACCGAGCUAGAGUGUGUCAGAGGGAGGUGGAAUUCCGCGUAGCAGUGAAGUGCGUAGAUAUGCGGAAAGAACACCGAUGGCGAAGGCAGCCUCCCGGGAUAAUGACUGACGCUCAUGCACGAAAGCGUGGGGAGCAAACAGGAUUAGAUACCUCUGGUAGUCCACGCCCUAAACGAUGUCAACUAGCUGUUGGGGCCUUCGGCUCUGGUAGCGCAGCUAACGCGUGAAGUUGACCGCCUGGGGAGUACGGUCGCAAGAUUAAAACUCAAAGGAAUUGACGGGGACUCCGCACAAGCGGUGGAUGAUGUGGAUUAAUUCGAUGCAACGUGCGAAAAACCUUACCUACCCUUGACAUGUCUGGAAUCCCGAAGAGAUUUGGGAGUGCUCGCAAGAGAACCGGAACACAGGUGCUGCAUGGCUGUCGUCAGCUCGUGUCGAGAUGUUGGGUUAAGUCCCGCAACGAGCGCAACCCUUGUCAUUAGUUGCUACGAAAGGGCACUCUAUCGAGACUGCCGGUGACAAACCGGAGGAAGGUGGGGAUGACGUCAAGUCCUCAUGGCCUUAUGGGUAGGGCUUCACACGUCAUACAAUGGUCGGGACAGAGGGUCGCCAACCCGCGAGGGGAGCCAAUCCCAGAAACCCAGAUCGUAGUCCGGAUCGCAGUCUGCAACUCGACUGCGUGAAGUCGGAAUCGCUAGUAAUCGCGGAUCAGCAUGUCGCGGUGAAUACGUUCCCGGGUCUUGUACACACUGCCUGUCACACCAUGGGAGUGGGUUUUACCAGAAGUAGUUAGCCUAACCGUAAGGAGGGCGAUUACCACGGUAGGAUUCAUGACUGGGGUGAAGUCAACAAGGUAG
This 1478-nucleotide ribosomal RNA is filed under the name uncultured Bordetella sp. Its description in RNAcentral is "partial 16S-23S ribosomal RNA intergenic spacer". It matches the Rfam family "Bacterial small subunit ribosomal RNA". The record is from RNAcentral. Lineage: Bacteria; Pseudomonadati; Pseudomonadota; Betaproteobacteria; Burkholderiales; Alcaligenaceae.